UACGUAGGGGGCUAGCGUUGUCCGGAUUUAUUGGGCGUAAAGAGCGUGUAGGCGGCCAUGUAGGUCCGGUGUGAAAACUCGAGGCUUAACCUCGAGCUGUCGGCUGAAACCAUCUGGCUAGAGUCCGGAAGAGGAGAAUGGAAUUCCCGGUGUAGCGGUGAAAUGCGCAGAUAUCGGGAAGAACACCCGUGGCGAAGGCGGUUCUCUGGGACGGUACUGACGCUGAGACGCGAAAGCGUGGGGAGCGAACAGG
This 253-nucleotide ribosomal RNA is filed under the name uncultured bacterium. RNAcentral describes it as "partial 16S ribosomal RNA". It matches the Rfam family "Bacterial small subunit ribosomal RNA", at positions 524 to 776 of the family's 1533-position model. The record is from RNAcentral.